Molecule: long non-coding RNA, 318 nt
Organism: Gekko japonicus
Lineage: Eukaryota; Metazoa; Chordata; Lepidosauria; Squamata; Gekkonidae
Exons: 3
Source: RefSeq, a predicted model, not a curated record
GCCCGGGGGAGAGCGGAGCGUGCCGAUCAGCAGUUCGUCUCUGAUGGCUGAUCUCCGCAGCUCCAUAUUAGAAACGUGAGACGGAAUAAGAAACCAUUAAAAGGCUCCGGCCAGUACAAAAAGCGCGCUCAUCUCACCUUACGAAAUAAAUGGACUGCAUGGAAGAGGCAAAUUCAGUGAGAAUGCAAGAACUAAGCAAUAAUCCUCCAAAAGACUCUAAUAUGGAACAGGAACUUCAAUACCCAUUUAAAAAAAUUCUCUUGUAUGCCAAGAUGGCAUAUUUGAUAACUCAGCCAGAAAUAGGCUUCCGGUCUGGCU